AGCCAACCAGCUAGCCCUAAUACUAAAUUCAACAACCAAAUAUUAAUAAACCCUAAAUCACCAUAAAACUAUAAAUAAAACAUUUUGCACCCUUAGUAUAGGAGAUAGAAAAGGAAUAUACGGAGCAAUAGAAAAAGUACCGCAAGGGAAAGCUGAAAGAGAGAUGAAAAAGCCCAGUAAAGCCUAAUAAAGCAGAGAUAUACCCUCGUACCUUUUGCAUCAUGAAUUAGCCAGUAAAACUAAGCAAAGAGCCCUUAAGUUUAGUACCCCGAAACUAGGUGAGCUACUCCAAGACAGCCUAUUAAAGGGCAAACCCGUCUCUGUGGCAAAAGAGUGGGAAGAGCUUCGAGUAGCGGUGACAGACCUACCGAACCUAGUAAUAGCUGGUUGCCUGAGAAGUGGAUAUAAGUUCAGCCCUGUAAUUUUCUUUCUUCAUAUAUUUACUUCCUUAAAUGAUCACAAGAAAUUAUAGGAGUUAGUCAAAAGGGGUACAGCCCUUUUGAACCAAGAUACAACUUUAUAAGGAGGGAAUAGAUCAUAAUACUAAAGGUAAAAUGUUUUAGUGGGCCUAAAAGCAGCCACCUAAAUAGAAAGCGUUAUAGCUCAGACAUAAAAUUCUAAACCUUAAAUCAAGAUAACAAUUCUCAACCCCCUAACCAUAACAGGCCCUCCCAUGCUAACAUGGGAAUGAUAAUGCUAAUAUGAGUAAUAAGAGAGAUACCGACCCUCUCCCUGCCCAUGUGUAUAUCGGAACGGACAAACCACCGACCAUUAACGCCCCCAAACAAAGAGGGCAUUAAACAUCAUCUUAAAACCACUAGAAAACCGUUUAAAAAUAAGCGUUAACCCCACACUGGUGAGCAUACAGGGAAAGACUAAAAGAAUGAGAAGGAACUCGGCAAACACAUGAACCCUCGCCUGUUUACCAAAAACAUCGCCUCUUGCAAAAAUCAAAGAAUAAGAGGUCGCGCCUGCCCAGUGACAAUUAGUUUAACGGCCGCGGUAUUUUGACCGUGCUAAGGUAGCGUAAUCACUUGUCUUUUAAAUGAAGACCUGUAUGAAUGGUAUGACGAGGGCUUAACUGUCUCCUCACUCUAGUCAAUGAAAUUGAUCUUCCCGUGCAGAAGCGGGAAUAGAUACAUAAGACGAGAAGACCCUAUGGAGCUUUAGAUACUAGAAUAGACCAUGUUAAUAAACUCUAAAUUAAAGAAUUGAACCUAAUGGGAUACUAUUUUUAUAUCUUCGGUUGGGGCGACCAUGGGGAAAUAUAAAACCCCCACGUGGAAUAAGAGAACUAACCCAUAAUCAACCCUCUUAAAAACAUAGAGCCACACCUCCAAUUAACAGAACUUCUGACCAAAAAUGAUCCGGCAAUGCCGAUCAACGGACCAAGUUACCCUAGGGAUAACAGCGCAAUCCCCUUUUAGAGCCCUUAUCAACAAGGGGGUUUACGACCUCGAUGUUGGAUCAGGACAUCCUAAUGGUGCAACCGCUAUUAAGGGUUCGUUUGUUCAACGAUUAAAGUCCUACGUGAUCUGAGUUCAGACCGGAGUAAUCCAGGUCAGUUUCUAUCUAUGAAAUAAUCUUUUCUAGUACGAAAGGACCGAAAAGAAGAGGCCAAUGCCAAAGCAUGCCUCCCCCUUACCUAAUGAAAACAUCUAAAUUAGGCAAAAGGGUAUACAAUUAAUGCCUAAGAUAAAGGCAA
RNAcentral lists this ribosomal RNA (1705 nucleotides) under Echeneis naucrates (live sharksucker). RNAcentral's name for it is "16S ribosomal RNA". It matches the Rfam family "Bacterial large subunit ribosomal RNA". The record is from RNAcentral. Lineage: Eukaryota; Metazoa; Chordata; Actinopteri; Carangiformes; Echeneidae.